Molecule: unclassified non-coding RNA, 351 nt
Filed under: uncultured Ascomycota
Lineage: Eukaryota; Fungi; Ascomycota
Description: sequence contains ITS2
Source: RNAcentral
AACUUUCAGCAACGGAUCACUGCGCGCACAGACCCAGCAGCAGGUGGACGCCUGCGAGGGCAAGGGCAAUCUGCCGCUCGAUACUGUGAUCAGCGGCUGCACGGCGCUGAUUCAAUCGGGCAACUAUCGCGGGCGAGAUCUUUCUACGGUUUUCGUCACCCGUGCGACCGCCUAUCAGCGCGAAGGCCAGCUUGAACGCGCCAUUCAGGACUACGAUGAGGCGAUCAGGCUCGAUCCGAGCAGCGCCACUGCCUAUUACAAUCGCGGCGUAGCCUAUGGGACUAAAGGGGACUGGGAUCGCGCCAUCGAGGACUACAAUCAGGCACUUAAGCAUAUCAAUAAGCGGAGGCU